AAGCGGAGGAAAAGAAACCAACCGGGAUUGCCUUAGUAACGGCGAGUGAGCGGCAAAAGCUCAAAUUUGAAAUCUGGUACCUUCGGUGCCCGAGUUGUAAUUUGGAGAGGGCAACUUUGGGGCCGUUCCUUGUCUAUGUUCCUUGGAACAGGACGUCAUAGAGGGUGAGAAUCCCGUGUGGCGAGGAGUGCGGUUCUUUGUAAAGUGCCUUCGAAGAGUCGAGUUGUUUGGGAAUGCAGCUCUAAGUGGGUGGUAAAUUCCAUCUAAAGCUAAAUAUUGGCGAGAGACCGAUAGCGAACAAGUACAGUGAUGGAAAGAUGAAAAGAACUUUGAAAAGAGAGUGAAAAAGUACGUGAAAUUGUUGAAAGGGAAGGGCAUUUGAUCAGACAUGGUGUUUUGUGCCCUCUGCUCCUUGUGGGUAGGGGAAUCUCGCAUUUCACUGGGCCAGCAUCAGUUUUGGUGGCAGGAUAAAUCCAUAGGAAUGUAGCUUGCCUCGGUAAGUAUUAUAGCCUGUGGGAAUACUGCCAGCUGGGACUGAGGACUGCGACGUAAGUCAAGGAUGCUGGCAUAAUGGUUAUAUGCCGCCCGUCUUGAACCACC
This 600-nucleotide ribosomal RNA is filed under the name Saccharomyces cerevisiae (brewer's yeast). RNAcentral describes it as "partial large subunit ribosomal RNA". It matches the Rfam family "Eukaryotic large subunit ribosomal RNA", at positions 48 to 663 of the family's 3401-position model. The record is from RNAcentral. Lineage: Eukaryota; Fungi; Ascomycota; Saccharomycetes; Saccharomycetales; Saccharomycetaceae.